Molecule: ribosomal RNA, 660 nt
Filed under: uncultured bacterium
Lineage: Bacteria
Description: bacterial SSU rRNA
Rfam family: Bacterial small subunit ribosomal RNA
Source: RNAcentral
AGUGGCGGACGGGUGAGUAACGCGUGAGAAUCUGCCUUGGGGUCGGGGACAACCACUGGAAACGGUGGCUAAUACCGGAUACGCCUUCGGGUAAAAGAUUUAUUGCCCUAAGAGGAGCUCGCGUCUGAUUAGCUAGUUGGUGAGGUAAGAGCUCACCAAGGCAGCGAUCAGUAGCUGGUCUGAGAGGACGAUCAGCCACACUGGGACUGAGACACGGCCCAGACUCCUACGGGAGGCAGCAGUGGGGAAUUUUCCGCAAUGGGCGAAAGCCUGACGGAGCAAGACCGCGUGAGGGAAGAAGGCUCUUGGGUUGUAAACCUCUUUUCUCAGGGAAGAAGCUCUGACGGUACCUGAGGAAUCAGCCUCGGCUAACUCCGUGCCAGCAGCCGCGGUAAUACGGAGGAGGCAAGCGUUAUCCGGAAUUAUUGGGCGUAAAGCGUCCGCAGGUGGCGAUUCAAGUCUGCUGUCAAAGCACGGGGCUUAACUCCGUAAAGGCAGUGGAAACUGAAUAGCUAGAGUGCCGUAGGGGUAGAGGGAAUUCCCGGUGUAGCGGUGAAAUGCGUAGAGAUCGGGAAGAACAUCGGUGGCGAAAGCGCUCUACUGGACGGCAACUGACACUCAGGGACGAAAGCUAGGGGAGCGAAUGGGAUUAGAUACCCC